This 468-nucleotide ribosomal RNA is filed under the name uncultured bacterium. RNAcentral's name for it is "partial 16S ribosomal RNA". It matches the Rfam family "Bacterial small subunit ribosomal RNA", at positions 28 to 507 of the family's 1533-position model. The record is from RNAcentral.
GACGAACGCUGGCGGCGUGCUUAACACACGCAAGUCGAACGGAAAGGCCCUGCUUUUGUGGGGUGCUCGAGUGGCGAACGGGUGAGUAAACGGUGGUAAACUGGCCCUGGACUUGGGAUAACUUUAGGGAAAUGGGGGUAAUACCGGGAAGGAAGUCCUGGUGCAUGGUGGGGGGUGGGAAGGUUUCGGCGGUUGGGGUUGGACUGGGGGUUUAUCAGCUGGUGGGUGGGGUGGUGGCUUACCAAGGCUUUGACGGGUAGCCGGCCUGAGAGGGUGACCGGCCACAUUGGGACUGAGAUACGGCCCAGACUCCUACGGGAGGCAGCAGUGGGGAAUAUUGCACAAUGGGCGGAAGCCUGAUGCAGCAACGCCGCGUGCGGGAUGACGGCCUUCGGGUUGUAAACCGCUUUCGCCUGUGACGAAGCGUGAGUGACGGUAAUGGGUAAAGAAGCACCGGCUAACUACGUG